GGAGCCAGCUCUGCCCUGAAGGGGCUGAAGCCCACCCGGCCUGCAGCUGCUUCCUGCUGCAGGACAGCCCUGGAAGGUCUGCAGCUCCCGUCAAAGGUGCAGAGGGUGCAGGCCCAUUUCACAAUGGGGAAGACUGAUGCUCAGAGAAUAGCCAGUAUGCUUGAUCAUACCGGUGGCAUGUGGCAGAGAAGGCUGAAGUCCAGGUUCUACUGUUGGCAAAGCUUGGGCCCUUUCCACUCUGCUGUGCCUUCCUCACCUCCACAGUGACCUGGACAUGAAAGGCCCUCUUGGAUGAACUGGUAGUGUCACUGGCAGCAGCUGCUAGGCUACCAGGCUGGGCUGGCUUGCCAUCCUGGCUUCCCCACUGGCCGGCACAGAUCUUCACGGAUUGCAGCAUUCAGGACCUGAGUCCAUGCCCAUGCAGAGGCCCAUUGCAGUGUUUGCUUAGCAUAGCUGCAUUUCCAGAAUGUAGGCAGGAGAAGCUGUAAAAGAUUCUCACCCUGCCAUGCACACUGAUGGCUCACAUUCUAAAGAGUCAGGAGUCAUUUUGGAUUUGGGCUGACCUGGUAGACUUCUGAAAGACAGUGCUCUGGGUUCAAGUUGUCCUCAGAUUGGGCUUGGCCACACCAUCCUCACAAUGGUGAGGCUUCAGAUCCAAUCAGACAGUGCCCAGACCUGGAGUCUCUGAAACCUCUGCUGAGCGGAUGUCCAAGAUGGUGCCUUCAUCUAUGUGCCUGGCCAAAGAUGUUGGCUUUCAGCUGUCCUCUCGGCCUGGGAUCUCAGGAGUGCCCGUAUGAGCCCUCUCCACUCAGCCUCUCCUAGCAUGGUGGCCAGGUCCCAAGAGGGAGCAUCCCAAGGGCCAGGUCCCAAGAGUUGACAAGGAGCUGCAAGGCCUCUGGAUAGCCUGGGCUUGGAAGAAUCAGAACUUGUAUUGGUUGACAAAGUCACAGAGGUUGGCCCAGAGUCAAGUGGGAGAGAUGAGGCCCUUGAAAGGGACUGGCAAGGCCACACCGCGGAAGAGACAGUGGGAUGCUAGAUGUUAUUCAGCCAUCUUUGGAAAAUGCAACCUGCCGCUUCAGACUCAC
Molecule: long non-coding RNA, 1085 nt
Filed under: Homo sapiens (human)
Lineage: Eukaryota; Metazoa; Chordata; Mammalia; Primates; Hominidae
Description: non-protein coding lnc-GADD45G-3:6
Source: RNAcentral